GGGAGUGUGGCUCAGUGGCAGAGCAUUUGUCUAGCAUGCAUGAAGCUCUGGGUUCAAUUCCCCAGAACCA
RNAcentral lists this transfer RNA (70 nucleotides) under Dipodomys ordii (Ord's kangaroo rat). It matches the Rfam family "tRNA". From Rfam's summary of the family: Transfer RNA (tRNA) molecules are approximately 80 nucleotides in length. Their secondary structure includes four short double-helical elements and three loops (D, anti-codon, and T loops). Further hydrogen bonds mediate the characteristic L-shaped molecular structure. tRNAs have two regions of fundamental functional importance: the anti-codon, which is responsible for specific mRNA codon recognition, and the 3' end, to which the tRNAs corresponding amino acid is attached (by aminoacyl-tRNA synthetases). tRNAs cope with the degeneracy of the genetic code in two manners: having more than one tRNA (with a specific anti-codon) for a particular amino acid; and 'wobble' base-pairing, i.e. permitting non-standard base-pairing at the 3rd anti-codon position. The record is from Rfam by way of RNAcentral. Lineage: Eukaryota; Metazoa; Chordata; Mammalia; Rodentia; Heteromyidae.